This 61-nucleotide transfer RNA is filed under the name Lipothrix lubbocki. Its description in RNAcentral is "tRNA-Gly". Lineage: Eukaryota; Metazoa; Arthropoda; Collembola; Symphypleona; Sminthuridae. The record is from RNAcentral.
AUUUUUCUAUUAUAAAAAGUAAAUUUAACUUCCAAUUAAAUAGUCCUCAUGGGGAAAAAUA